AACGAACGCUGGCGGCAGGCUUAACACAUGCAAGUCGAGCGCCCCGCAAGGGGAGCGGCAGCCGGGUGAGUAACGCGUGGGAACGUACCUUUUGGUUCGGAACAACUCCGGGAAACUGGAGCUAAUACCGGAUAAGCCCUAACGGGGAAAGAUUUAUCGCCGAAAGAUCGGCCCGCGUCUGAUUAGCUAGUUGGUGAGGUAACGGCUCACCAAGGCGACGAUCAGUAGCUGGUCUGAGAGGAUGAUCAGCCACACUGGGACUGAGACACGGCCCAGACUCCUACGGGAGGCGGCAGUGGGGAAUAUUGGACAAUGGGCGCAAGCCUGAUCCAGCCAUGCCGCGUGAGUGAUGAAGGCCUUAGGGUUGUAAAGCUCUUUUGUCCGGGAAGAUAAUGACUGUACCGGAAGAAUAAGCCCCGGCUAACUUCGUG
RNAcentral lists this ribosomal RNA (431 nucleotides) under uncultured bacterium. RNAcentral describes it as "partial 16S ribosomal RNA". It matches the Rfam family "Bacterial small subunit ribosomal RNA", at positions 29 to 507 of the family's 1533-position model. The record is from RNAcentral.